GGGGAUUUAGCUCAGGGUAGAGCGCUUGCCUAGCAAGCACAAGGCCCUGGGUUCGGUCCCCAGCUCCG
Molecule: non-coding RNA, 68 nt
Organism: Rattus norvegicus (Norway rat)
Lineage: Eukaryota; Metazoa; Chordata; Mammalia; Rodentia; Muridae
Source: Rfam